RNAcentral lists this ribosomal RNA (253 nucleotides) under uncultured bacterium. RNAcentral's name for it is "partial 16S ribosomal RNA". It matches the Rfam family "Bacterial small subunit ribosomal RNA", at positions 524 to 776 of the family's 1533-position model. The record is from RNAcentral.
UACGAAGGGGGCAAGCGUUGUUCGGAAUGACUGGGCGUAAAGGGCGCGUAGGCGGUUCGUUGCGUCAGAUGUGAAAGCCCCGGGCUCAACCUGGGAACUGCAUUUGAUACGGGCGGGCUUGAAUCCAAGAGAGGGUGGUGGAAUUCCCAGUGUAGAGGUGAAAUUCGUAGAUAUUGGGAAGAACACCAGUGGCGAAGGCGGCCACCUGGCUUGGUAUUGACGCUGAGGCGCGAAAGCGUGGGGAGCGAACAGG